This 1295-nucleotide long non-coding RNA is filed under the name Homo sapiens (human). RNAcentral describes it as "non-protein coding lnc-SLC30A7-2:5". Lineage: Eukaryota; Metazoa; Chordata; Mammalia; Primates; Hominidae. The record is from RNAcentral.
UUCCUGAAUAUAUCACAUGUGGUGAUAAACAUGAAGAUGUAUGAAAAAUUGUGUUCGUUGAGAGAAAAUGGAAGGCUUUUCAUUCUACUUCCACAUUUUCAUUCCAGCAGCUUUUCUGUUUUGGAAGAUGAGUACUGAAUCUUGCAAUGAAAUUUUUUUAACUUAAACAAGACAAGGAAAAUGAAGCGCAGAGACGUUAAAUAACUCUCUCAAGGUCAUGCAGCUGAGAAGAGAUGAGACUUGAACUCCAGUGCCAGCCCUGUUAAUCACUAUUCUGUACUGUCUUUCAGAUGGAAUGAUAGGGUAUGCAUAAAUGUUCAUGUGGGCUCUGGAGUAUACCAGGAACUGAAGUAAGGUACAUGGACGUCUUGAAUAUUGUAACUGAGAUGGGCAAGCCUACACCUUUGCAAAUAAAGGAGGAUUGGGAAAGAUUAAGAUCCUGUUAAACGUCAGUGUUACUAUUUAGCCUUUGAUAUCUCCAGUAAAGGCAACUUCUUUCUGGACCCAGAAAUAAAGCUUUACAUUAGCAGCUUCCAUAACACCAAUAACAUGAAUGACCAUCUACUGAGCAAUUGCAGUGCACCAGGAUUAUGGCUUAUGAGCACUUUAUGUUUAUUAUCUCACAACUCACUGAGUUAGAUACUCUCCACAACCCAGUGAGCCUCUCAAGCACUGUGAAAAAUCACUUUCUCUUGUUGUAUUCUUGGAGCCCCUGCUAAUUCAUUAUUGAAAAAUACCUGCUGCCUGCAUUUGGCCUUAUGUUGUCAUUUACUUGGGUCUGUGCAUGGCGUUUAGAAGGCUACACCUUAGGCUGGGGGUCAAGAAUGUCUUCCCUGAUGUGAGGUUUACACAGAGAUCUGAAGAAUGAAGAGUCCAGCUAAGUACUUCCUAAGCGUGGCUACUCCAAUGAAGCUUUAGUAUAUGUACUGAAAGAAGAUCCUCUCAUACUGCCACAGCCAAGAGAUAAGGUUGUAAAUCUUUAUUGGGAGAAGCCGUCAAGGACAGUUCUGUGAAAUGAAAGGAUCUCUGGAUCACCACAAAGUCUGGCUCAGUGACUAUGGCUUUGCAAACACUAAACAUUCCUGUCUCAAGUCCUGUAGAUGGCUUGAAAUAGUAUACAUAAGCAUGCCUUAUAAACAUCUUCAGUCUUUAUCAACUCUUUGGAGAUUCAGCCAUUCUUUUUUGUACUUUAGGGAAUUAAAUCAUUUUAUAAUGUAUAAAUCUGAGCAUGGCCGAUGGCAGAAGAAAUUUUGUCAUACGUUUUUAAAGAAAUAAAAAUGUAUUAUGUUUUAAAA